RNAcentral lists this long non-coding RNA (17058 nucleotides) under Setaria viridis. RNAcentral's name for it is "long non-coding RNA (SVIR_LNC008576)". Lineage: Eukaryota; Viridiplantae; Streptophyta; Magnoliopsida; Poales; Poaceae. The record is from RNAcentral.
CACAGCUUCGACAACACACACAGCCACAGAUAGAUGAUGAAGCGUUGCAGCCGCAUCUUUUCGCCGCUCGCGGCUCUUGCCCUGCUCCUACUCCUCGUCUGCUUCUUCCACUGCGCGGCCGCGGCUCGGCUCCUCCCUGCUGUUCCUCCUCUUGAUAACCAAGGUACGUGUGCUCCACUCUUGUCAUGUACAGUAUGUCUUGGUUGCUGAAGCUCUAUGCUGGUCGAUCGAUCCUACCAGCUUUGGUCUUCCCUGAUGUUUCUGAAGAACCCUUUGCAGAGAAUAAUGGUGUCAAGGCUGGUGCUGCAGAUGGCCUAGUGCUUCAUGAAGGUACCGCGGUCCAUGGCAACGAGCUUUCAGUCUCGGAGGUGAGAACAGAAGACGCUGAAUGUCUUUGAAUCCAGUGAUUUCCAAUUUGAGUAGUAAACUUGACCAUUCGUGUACUGGUUCUUGAUCAGAUGAUGGGAGUAGAGGAGGAGGAGCCGGCGUGUGACGAGGGGAACGACGAGUGCAUGCAGAGGCGGCUGCUCCGGGACGCGCACCUCGACUACAUCUACACCCAGCACAAGGGCAAGCCGUAAGGAGAGGACUGAGGACCUGCAUAUCUUCAUCCCAGAUCUACCUGCCGGCUGCCCGCUAGCUUGAUUCUGUCACUAAUUAACAUUAGUGACCCAACUACGAGUACAUGCAUGUGUGUCAUCUGUCUGUACAUCUCCAAGUCUUGUAAUACAUGGUAAUUUGUCUAGUUGCCUACCUGUGAAGCUGCGGCCCCUGUCUGAACUCUGAAAGUAAUACUAUGUUUGUACGUCCAUGCAAGCCCAUUAUCUACAAAGUUUUCAACUUUCAUGUGUGCUCGAUUGCUUUGCAUUCAUAAUAUUUUGAAGACUGAGGGCUUGUUUCUACGCAUAUUGGAAAACUAGUGGCCUUUGUCUGUAUGCAAAAACUUAAAGAGGACAAAACCCUAAACCCUGAUACUCCUAUUGUCGUUAUGGACUUAUGGUAUGAAUCAUACACGUUUAAGCCACCGGCGUGGAGUAAUACCUGCAUCCUGUUGGGAGAUUGUAUCUAUAUGCAUGCGUCUAGUGCAAUUUAGAUACGGUUCUACUUUAAGCUAUUUUCAUAAAGACAAAUAUGGUACACUUUUAGAAAAUAUAAUAGAUUCAAUGGCUAUUAUUAUCAAUGAUCUGAUCAUGAGAGUCUACAAAACUUUUGGUCAAGUGCUUCUAAUUUUGUGAGAAUUCUAUUAUUUGUAUUUUUUUUCUAGCGUGUUAUCAGGAACAGAGGGUUCUUGUUGAGGCUUUAUAAUAAUGAGUAUUCAAUUAGUAAUGUUAUGUGGAAAGAGAUCGGCCAAGCCCAUUCGUUCUAAUCAGUUUUGUAUACACUUGAGCAUAGCAAUCCAAACCAAUUAGUCUACCUAUAAAAGAAACAAGUAGUUUAUGUUUACAACGAUAUAAGCAUGUGGUUAGCUGCUACCAUGCAACCUAUAGCUUGGGGCCUUCUAGUUGAAGAAAGAAUCUAGACGUAGGCUGCAACUUGACAAGUUCCUAAUUGGCCUGGAUCACCAACCCUGCGUCCAGUGUGUAUGGCUUGGAUAGGUAUGCCUUCUUCUCUCUUUGGUUGAACCGGAUACAGUGAUGCGCAUUUAGAAGUGAUGCGGUUGGAUCUUUUGCAACCGGAUACAGUGACACACACGCAGUUUGGCUGCCUAGCCGACAUGCAGGCCGGCAUGCGUGCUUCCAGCUGGCUUAGCCUUAUGAUAUGAUGCGAGAGGAAUGAUAUCGCACGCGCUGGAUGAAAACGACAUGGCAAUAAGUUGAGCACGUUUAAGUUCAGGCGACGAGCCGAUCGAUCGAUCGCCGCCUCAGUUAUUCCUGCAUCGGAUCCCCACUCUACCAGCGGCGAUCAUCAGGUAGUCACUAUCACACCUAAUUUUAAAACAAAAUCAAGUGCAACCUGUACGUAUACGUAGGAUCAAGUUCAUACAUACAGUGACAUCAUCAGUGAAUAAUAAUAACAAUAUCACGUAAAGAAAUAUAAAUAAUGACUUAGAAGUCUAUUAUUAGAGAUAUACAGUUUAAUCUUGGAAACAAAGACUCUAAACUUCACAGGCAAUCGACUGGGGGCUGCGUACACGUAGAGCUCAACAUCAUCUUCACAAAAUUUCACACACCUUCUUCUGAGUAGCAGUAAGCAAGCGUGAGUACACUUAUGGUUGGUACUUAACGAGGCCACAAGAAAUAUGAAAUAACCAGAAUAAUAAUUUAAGUCCAUUUUCAAAUUUAUUAAUCAUGUGAGGGUUCGGGCCUCUCUUAACCGUGAGUGCGGUUGAUGUAUCAGUUUUACACUCUGCAGAGGUCGUAUACUUUCACCACAAGUUUCGUAAAAGUUUAGAAGAACUUUGAACCCAACCAUGCCGUGCAAAAGUAGGCGCUUAUCACACUACCGAGGUGUGACUGCAUAGGGAUGCUACGAGGCUUUUUACAAAGAUUCCCUAGUAAGGAUAACUCGCUAAGGUUUCAUGAUCAGGCAAUACAUAAACCUUUCUCAAACUGCGAAGUUACCAUAGAGCAGAUUUUGAGGACCGGACUAUACACCAACUACUGUCUGUCUCCCCCUCUUGCCCCUUUUAGGUAAAGCUACUACAAACUAGAGUUUCUAAUUAAUUAGCCAAGACCAGAGCCAUGUAGUUCUUGUGUUGCACUGUUUUCCUAGGUGGUUCUCCAUGUUCCAAUUAAUACUUGGUAUUCUUGUAAAUACGUAUAAAUAGAAGGAUGGUUAGGUCACUUGCCUUUUUCCAAACAUACAGCUGCUCAGAUUAUCUUCCGCUCUUGUUCUUCAAAGCUCUCGAAUGACGUUCCUUCUACUCGCAACAAUCAUCGGACACAAGCAUAGAAAGCAAACAAACAAUCACAACUAAGAACAAUACAUCAAUCAAAGAAAAGCUUUAAAAGAGUAUACUAAAGGAUAAGGCUCGAUUCUAGAAUCAUGAAAACUACGAAAGAAACGCUAAAAAUGAAACUAAGAUUGAAAAGACAGAGCUAUCGAGGGAUUAUUAUCAAACAACAAAGACUAUGUGCUAGAUAUAUAUUAACUCAAUAAAACCAUAUGUAAAGGCGUGGAGGAUAGGCGAAGGAGAUGCGUGACGGCCUAGGGAACUCCUCGUGGUGGCCUCUUGCUCCAGGAACGUCGGGUGUGGCGAAUCGGAGUGGCGGAGGCGGCAAUGGCGCUCGGCUCCGGCGAUCGACUGCGUGCAGCGCUGCGUGAGCAGGUGAGGCGAGGAGAGGCGCAGGGCGAGCAGCAGGGGCGCGGGGUCAGGUGCUCGGGCGGCGGCUUUAUAGGGCGCGGGACGGCCAUGGCUUGGCAUGCACGCCAAGGCCGGUGGCGCUGCCGUGCGGCUCGGGAAGAGCUGCCGAGCAGCUGGGUUGGACUGGGCCCGGGUCGAGCCUCGCGGGCUCGGCUCGAAAGGACUGUGGGGACCACCUGCAGGGUAGGGUUAGAGUCUAGAGGGUUGGAUCAGGCUUGGUUGGAUCCAACCCGAUAAGGAUUUAGGGUUUUGUUAUUUUCCAAAAUAUAUUUUCCAGUGCGAAAACAAAUCUAGAAUAUACUAGAUAAUAUUUUGAAAGCACGAAAAAUAUCCAGAAAAUCCUAAAAAUUCUAGGAAAAUUUCUAGAGAUAGAUUGGGACACGAGGAUUCCAAAUAAAAUACUUGGAACUCGUGAAAAUAAUUUAGAGCCUUCUAAAAAUAGAUUAAGUUCUAGAAAAAUGAGAAUGAAUCCCAGAAAAAGCUGGAAAAUUCUUAAAGGAAACUAGUCGUUGUCUAAACGCAUUUAAAAACAUUUGCACUCAUAAAACACUACAUUGGCAUGAAUGCAACACACAAAGAACAACUUUAUUUAAUUCAGAAAAAAACCAAUUGUUUUUCCUAGACUAAAUUUCCUGUCAAGAAAAUAAAAGUUGAAUUUUUUUUAAAAUUAUGAGAAAUUCAUUGUUUAAUUGUUCUUCUAAUCACAUCCUGAAAUUUAAAAAUUUCAAGGUGUGACAGUCACUAGCCGUACAAUAUACAUGCUCCUUUUUGUUAUGGUACAUAUGCCACUAUUCUCUGAUUUACUAGUAGUUUACCUUGGAGCUAGUGACAUCGCACGAUCGAUGGAGAUUGUAAUCUGCUUCCACGUAGCCGCUUUUGUGUGUUUUGGUGCAUGCAUGGGAGCCUCACUGACUUGGGCACACCCACGAUCUUCAUUCGAUUAUUGGCUAGCUUUAUUCAUUGUUUGUGCGCACAGCAUUAGUUUCCCGUUUGGAUUUUGGCCACGCGUCGGCAUGUCCAUGCGCAUCGUAUCUCUUUCAGCUUAGCAAUGAGAAGAGUUGCAACUGAUUUCAUUUUCUUUUUCCCAUGGUCGGAUAUCGUCGGAUGCACGCGCAUGCGCCCACCGUACCUCCUCCAUAUGCUGCAGCCGCACGCCAUUGUAGACUAAGACUAGUAGCAUGCAGCACGCUAGAGGUAGACUGCUAGACGGUGUGUAACAGUGACAUACACGCGGCGCAGCCAAGGCCAACGUCAUGCAUCAGCCGCACCCAAGUUGGCAAGCAAAGCAUUACUCCCCGUUCCCGCCGACUCCCGUCCACUAGCAAAUCGCUUGUGCUGCCAUCCUGCACAGCAUCAAGCUUUGCAUUAUAUAUACUCCGUAGGAAGAAAAAAAGAAACACUCAGCUGAUACUGUUUGUAGAAUCUCAUCUCCUCGCGCCCACAGAUCGAUGAUCGAUCGGUAGCCGCCUAGCUGGGAUACAUAUGAUGAUUUGGAAUUGCCCACUACUGUGCGUUCUACCGUGUUUCCACCGAAACGUACUGAAACUAUAGAGGCCAGGGACGAGCCAGCCAGCGCCUGUCGUCCGAGCUGACCCCGAAAGCUACAGAGGCCGCCGGCCGGAUCAAAUCAUCGAAUCCAGCCGUUGACUCGUACGAGCAUGCAGCGGGCCGAAAAGACGAGACGACAGUGAGCGAAAAGACCGGGCAAGCAGCGAGCGCACUGUCCGUCGUCGAUCACGCGCCGCGCGCCAGCACAGUAACACCAGCAGGCGACCGCACUGGCUGGGAGACGACGACAAGGACGAGCACGACGCCUGCGAAUGCUGAUGCGGUGAUGCACGCAACUUCCCCUAGCUCUCGUCUCUCGACAGCCGCCCCAGCGUGGGUGGGCACCGCCGAUCGCCCAACAUUGAGCACGCACGAGAUCGAGGAGACUGCUGGAGCGAGAAAGUGGCGCCGAUCCAGGAAAUGAUCGAUGCUGCAGGAAAAUGGUGGCCGAGCCCGAGUGGGUGGGGGAAGGCAGACCGCAGAUGCAGCAGGACACAGCAUGGCUGCCCCAGUACUCUAGUGCCCAGCUGAGUGGACGGACAGUGCCAAAAAAGACUUGCUAUACGUGGCCUGGGGGUGCUGUCCGCUGUGCGUGUGAGAGUGGGACCCUCUGGGCCCAUCAGGACAUACAUGAUAGUCAAUGGUGCGGGGAGCCCAUGCAGCAUGCAUGCACUGGAAUAGUAUACGAUGUCAUUGUCAACAUAUUAGACAGAUUCAGCUCAGCAUCAGCAGCUACCGUUACGCGUGCAGUUCCUGAAUCUGCUCAUCGGCUGGCUGGCUCCUCCCUUGCAAAUGAACAGAGGCCAAACUGCGGCAGAGUAAUUCGGACAACGGGACAAGAGGUGUACCAGCAAAUUAAAACAGAAACGCUUUCCUAAUUUCUGCUCUUUUGCAACACUACGGAUUGCCACUACUGGAAAGCACCUUCGGUAGCGGGUCCUAACCCCUUAAGUACCGAUUGUGCAAUCGGCAGGUCCUAACCCCUUUAGUACCGAUUGUGCAAUCGGUAAGUUGGUACUAAAGGAGGUCCUUCACUACCGGUUCAAAUAACCGGUAGUAAAUUCUUUUUUUUUCUGUUUCUUUUCUCAUUUUCUUUUCUAUUUCUUUAUUCUAUAUUAGUAUUUCGUAUUUGUUUCCUUUACGUAUACUAGUUCUAAUACACAAUAUAUAUAUAUAUAUAAAGUUAUAUUUGAUCUAUAAUAUUACAUUUGAGUUAAUAUUAUACAUAGACAUAUUGUGCAUACAUAUAUAUAUAUGAAUAAUAUUACAUUGCAUCAACUCUCCAAGUUCAAUAUUUUGGAUCAACUAUUCUGAACCCGAGUCCUGACGGUGAUAUAGAUUUGAUCCAUCAUUAUGCAACUCUCCCGCUGGAUUUACUACCUCGUCCAGAAGAAAUCCACUGAGUUGUUCUUGAAUUACCCUGAUUUUUUCCAUCUCGAGGAGUUCUUCCUUCAUGUGCAUAAUCUAUGUCAUUAGCAAAGGUUAUUAUAUUAGAUCAAUGGAUCUGCACAAUUGGAACUAAUUUAUUGUUAAGAAAUUUGUAUACGUGCUCUGAAUUCGUGGUCGGUUAUACACUUAGGACCUACAAAGCCAUGGACGGACUCACAUACGUAGUAUCCGCAUAAAUUAUUCCUCGGAAUCUGUCUCAAACACUAUAUAUAUGGUAAAAAAAGUUAUGAAAUAUUUGUUGUGUUCAAGGAAGUGACACGAAAUGUGCAAAUUCAAUGCAUACCAGGAAUUUAGAGUGGAUAUGAAGUUGCUCCUUGAAUUCACCUGAGUGAUGUUGACAAAAGCGAGCCCAUGCUCUGUUAAGUAUGUCUAUGAGGUCAGUGUAUUGAUUUCUCGGUCUCCUCAGAGAGUUGAGGAUAUAGACCAUGCUUCGAUCAACCACGAUAACAAGUAGUAUCUAGUUGAACCUGUACAUAUAUGCAUAGUGAAAAAGUAUUUAGUCUUAUUUUUAACUGCUAGUUCGAAAAAUAAAAGAGAUGGGAAACACGCUCACUUGAAGUUGUACGUCAGAAGUAUGUACUUCUUGCAAUGUUGCUUGUCCAAGAAAUUAUAUAUAUUCUUCAAGGCUCGAUUUGGUUUAUCUCUUACAGUUACCUCGUUUAUAACAUCUGGGUCUAUGAAGCUGACAUCAUAGAAUCCUUUCCUCCGGCAAGCUUGAAUCUCCAUCUUGCAUGAUACAAAAUAGAAUAGGAGAUAAGACAUCGCACAAUGACUAGAGCGGGGAUUUUGAAGUUAGAGCAAAUUAAAUACUUACAGAACCCAGAAACUAUUGAGUUGUCAAGUGCGUCUUGGGAUGUGAUUUGUCAAGCUCUUUCCCUAACUCAAUUUUUCAUUAUCAGUCUCAGCGUGCUUUGAGAUGUGAUCCUCCCCUCGUAGUUGAGCUGCGGUGAGAUUUGUAUCUUUGACGAAUAGAGGUAGGUUCUUAUCAAACUCCGAAAGUACUUAGAGCGAGGCAAGAUUGGUUGGAUUGGGUUUCGAGCUGUUUAAUACUUGACCCACUUUUCUUUUUCUUCUAAAAAGCCUUUGUUAGUGUGCGAUCGUAGUCAGAUAGUGGUGGUUUCUCUGACUUUUUCUUUUUCUCCAACUCCAUGCCUCUAAUAAAAGCUUAAAAUUUAACCUUAUCAAGUGGUGGAUCUUUUUUCACGGGAGGCUUUGGUGCAAAGUGAGCUUUAACCUCAGCAUCCACAGUUGCGCGGAGCUCCUCAUCAGUCUUCUCGUAAGAUUUCUUAGGCUCUAGUUGCUUCUCCUUCAAUUUCUUCUGCUUCUUCUUUGUAGGCGAAACUGAGGGCGUCUUUCGCCGUGUAGCCUUGCUCAUAACAGGGGGAGGUGGACUCAUGCUAGGAUCCCUGUCAGCUGGUGGAGAGCGUGGACUCAUGCUAGGAUCCCUGUCAGCUAGUGGACUCAUGCUAGGAUCCCUAUCAGCUAGCGAAGAGGGUGCCCUGGCAGAUGACGUAGUUGAUCUUGCUUUUGAGCCUUGAGGAGAUGAUCCCAAGGUCGGGGGAUUCGGUUGCGAAAUCCUUAUAUAGUGCUUGGACCAUAGAAUCCAACCAUGAAUAGCUUCUCCUAGAUUCUUUUCCCCGUCACCUCCAUGUACCUCCAGUUCGAGGUCAUCCCAACCGUUGACCACUCGGUCCACCCUAACUUUGACGUACCUGUGAGCUGAAAUCUCCACAUUAUGAAUUGUUUGGCCUUGUGUCAGUUGUUCAGCCACACUAUAAGCCACCACGAUGAGCUUGUUUUUCACAGGAGUAAUAAGCUCACAUGGAGUCCUCCCAGUGAUGUCAUCCACGGGGUGGCGUUGGUUGUCCUCAACCAUGUCAGAAGAUCCUCCAGCUAGGGCUUCCAUGGAAGUGAUGCUGCACUGAGAGGGGUUUACAUCGAUAUUAGCCCCUAAUUAUGCAGUUGCUUGUUCACUGGUUUGUUUGCUAAGAGCUAGAACCUUAUGCCGAUCGAUUGCUUCCUCCAUUCUUGCCUCUGUCAAAGCUACGUGUUCUGGCAACUCUCGCAGCUGUCGUGCAUGUUCGGCCUUACUUCCUUGGUGACUUCUAUAUGAAUCAAUGUGCUCACGAAAGGCGAACUUCCAUAGAAUUGCUCCUUUGCCUCGGCAACAUAAAGGGUGUUUUGGAUUACCUAGUGCCAUAGUCAGCUCGUCCUUCUCUUGAUCGGGCACGAAGAUCCUUCGGCUGUAGCCUUUAUUAACUCAACAAGCCUCGUAGCCGCUUCUCUUAAUUCUUGACUGAACAAGAAUGAUCCAUCUUCAGGAUUGAGUGUGGCGCCACGAGCAUAAUACCAAUACUUUGCUCACUCCGGCCAUUCGAGAGUCGCCAGUAAUAUUCCCUUAGCAAUUAUGUCAUCUUCCAUCCUAUGCUAUUUGAUGAUCCUCUUCUUGUAACCUCCUGGCCCAAGAUGAUGAAAGUAUUUGUUCUGAUGAGCAUUGUCGAUGUUGAUUUUAGUUGCCUUAGUGCUCUUUUGUGACUGCUUAAACUGCACAAAUGAAUCCUAGCGAUCUCUUAACGUCGGGUGCUUCGUGAAAUCUAGUGUAAGACCCUUCUUUAUGUAAUCUUUGUUCAGGUUUUUCUUGUAUGUCUGAAAGGCAAUUGCACCCUUCCGAAACCUCCAAUCUUUCACUUUUUCUUCAUCUACACCUUUGAACACAAAGUUUUCUUUUAUCUGCUCCCAUAUCAUUUCCUUCUCUCACUAGGGGACCACGCUUACGGGGACUGUGUUUGUGGGGAUCACGCUCUCAUCAAUUUCAGGGCUUUUCCAAUUCUGAAUGCUUAUUGGGAUGUUAUCCCUAACAAGAAACCCAAUUUGAUUCACCAAUUUGGUCUUAGCAUUGUCUGGAGCAGUUGUUUCACCCUCUUCAUUAAGAGCGUUUGUCCGCAUUGUACAUUCAUUAUUAAUCCAUCUACAAAGUAUUACCGAACCAAAGAUAUUCUGAUCAUCCAUAGAAUUAUACAUGAAACAUGACAAAUAUGAUACAAAUUUCACUAAACUCAAAUGUUGCUGAAAAUUUAGAUAGAAAUACACAAAUUUAAAUUUCAGACCCAAAUAACAUGAUACACUAUGAAAAACUCAAAUGUUGCUGAAUGUUUAGAUAGAAACACACAAAUUUAAAGUUCAGACCCAAACAACAUGAUACACCACGACAAACUCAAAUAUUGUUGAAAGUUUAGAUAGAAAUACACAAAUUUAAAUUUUAGACCCAAACAUUAUGAUACACUACGACAAACCAUCCACUGAGUACUAUCUAGGAGGACUUUAAGCAUCCUUGGGUGGCGAAGAUGAAGGUUUCGCUAACCCAGCCUCAUCCUGCGGUUUAUUAGUGCCUCCUGCGACGAUAAUACUCAGUGGACCUGAAACUCCCGGGACUGGCGGUGGAGCAUAACGACCACCAAAAGGAGGUUCCUGAACCACUGCAACAGCAUCUUCAUGAUAUCUUUCCAAAUAACGAAGCAUUGCUAUCUCCCACAUGCUCAUUUUCUUUGGCUUAUCAUGAGGGUCAACUAUGGUUUUCCCCUUGCUGCAAGAGGAACGACGAUUUCCCCCACCAUCACCACUACCUCCAGUAGCGGUAGCCAUCUUUAUGUACCACAAUUUAUUUAGCUCAUAUUUGCAAAUAACUCUCAAGCUGAUUCUGCACCUUCUUCUCCUCGAAAGCUACAACUAGAAAAUAUAUUCACUAAACUAUGAACAAAUUAUAUUUUCUCCACAAUUUAUUUACUCAAACAUAACAUAUAAAGGAAAAAUUUCUCCAUUGUACCUUAUUCUAAAAAUGACUAAUUACAUACCUCUAUUUCAUCUUAUUAUCUCUAUGUACCACAAUUUAUCUUGCUCAUAUUUGCAAAUGAUGAAACUAUGAAUAAAUUAUAUUUUUCCCUAUAAUUUAUUUAACUCAUAUUUAUAAAGGACUAAAUUAUAAAAUUAUUCAUCUAACCUCAUAUCAAUUUCUUUGACUAAUACGAAACAUAGCAUCCCAAAAAUUGUAGCUUAUUCUAAAAAUCAUAAAUAUGAGUUCUAAAUACCACAUGCGUAUAAAUGAAAUUUUUCUCCAUUGUACCUUAUUCUAAAAAUCACAAAUGACUCUAGCUCUAAAGCAUAAAACUUAGUAUACUAACCAUGUAUCAAGGGAAGAUGAAGUUUCUAACCUUUAGAACAUUUGAAUGAGUGAAAUCCCUACAAAAUGGUCAAAAAUCCGGUAGCACCUCCCCUAUUUUGCCAUGAAUGGAUGAAGUCCGAGCUAGAGGAAAUGGCUCGAGCAAGAGGAAGAAGACACUUGAUUUAUAGAAGGGAAGUUAGUACUGGUUGGGAGCUCCAACCGGUACUAUAAGGUCACCCAUUAGUACGGGUGGAGCCUACACCUGGUACUGGUACCUGUUGGAGCCCCCAACCGGUACUAAAGGGGUCACGGGGCUCCUAAGAAAGUAGCCGUUAGACCCGAUAGUAAUGCUCACAUUAAUACUGGAUGAAAAAUCAACUGGUACUAAAUCUCGGGAUAAAUGCCAAGUUUCCCAGUAGCACGCACGUCUCUUGCACACAUCCGGGUUUCCCGAUGGAAAAGAAGCAAAGGAAAAGAGAUCGAGCCUUACGCGACUUGAGUGGCUCAAAGUUUGGAAAAGGUCCCAAAAAUCCUGCCUUUUUAAGCUCCUCCUCCUUACCUCACCUUCUCCACGCUGUGAUGUGCUGCCGGUCCAUCUAUGAGACGACACCUGUGCCGAUAUGUAAGCGUUUUUGGAAUCUCUAGUGGAUGAAUCAGAUGUAUUUCGCCAAUUUUUUGCUGACUGUCCUAUCCUCCUUUUUCUGAGUUGCUACAAAAGCUAAAGCAAGGAUAUUCUUUGGGUUUGAAGGUGUACAGCAGCACUCACCAGUUCCAUUUUCAGAUUAGCUCAUUAGCACCACAUGACCACAAUCUCUACUCGUCUCACAAAAAAAUGUAAAAGGUGACACGAAUAUUGUUUGAUGCAAAAAAAAAAAACGAGCAAAGGGAUGAUGCGGCUUUUCCUGCAUUCAUGCAGUGAUGCAGGGAGAGAGGAAAAGUUGGAAAAAGGUCCAAAACUCUUGCCUUUUCGAGCCCAUCUUCUCCGCUUCAAAUGCCGAAAUCUAUCGAUAAGACGGCAGCUGUUCGUAAGAGUUUUUGUUCUGGAAUUUCUAGAACCAGACUAACACACCAUGUGCAAGCAUUUGACUGCUAGGUCUUUCACCAUUUUCGCCUCCUGUUUCGUCCUCCUUUUUCUCUGAGUUGCUACAAAAGUUAGAGCAAAGGAUAUAUACUUUGCGUUUGAAGGUGUACAACUGUACUCCGCAGACCGCAGUCCCAUAUUCAGAUCACCCGCAACCCCAACCAUAUUCACACAUCACACUCUGGUAAAUUUUCCUACCCCAUUUCAUUUGUUCUUUUUGGCGUGACAAUUUUAGUUUUAUGCAUUGAGAAAUGACAAGUGUAGCAUACGUACUAUCCUUAUUAUUCUGAACUGAACUGUAAGGAAAGAAAGUUAUGUAGUCUCUUGCAAAUUCUUGUAAAACUAGCAAAGUGGCCCGCGCAAAUAGCGCGGGAAGCUAGUUGUUUUUAUGCCAAUAUUAUAGUGUUAUAUUUUAAAAUAAAUGGAUACAAAUACUUGUGUUCAGUCAUGUUAUCGUAACAAAUCGAGAUAUCAUAAUUUUUUUUCUUGUCAUAUUUUGUGGAACAUGAAUUUAUGAAAAAAGGUAAUAUCUUAUGUAGAAACAUAUUUUUUUAUUUACUGAAUCUAUAUAAAGAUUUAUAUAGUUUUAACAGGAAUAUACUUUUUUAGAUUUUUUUAUUGGUGAUGUACAUUUUUGUUUGUGAGUUUUGCUAUGAUGGUAAAUUGUCCUUAUAUUUUUAGUAGAAUAUUUAGGUGAGCGGUUCAAUAUAUACUCUGAAAUAACGUACUAAAAAAUGAAUAUUAUUAAAUACCAGAAGUAAUAAUUAAAAUUUAAUUUUGAGUUUGGAUCGAAACACAUCUUUAGUUGUUAUCAAAUCCAAAUAUCCUUUCCCUCUUUGUUCCCAAUCACCAGUUGCUACAGCCCAGUACAUGCAUGAUUUCAUUUUGUCUUAUGGGUGUUGCACCUUUUUCCCAGCACAAACCCUAGCUACGUUUGGGUCAAUAUAUUCAUUAGCUAGCAAGGUAUAUAUAUCCUUAGCAUUUGUGCUCAUCCAUUCUCUCUCCUACUGCUCCAAAGGAGCGUUGCCCCGCUACGCUGCGGUCAUUAAAGAUGCAUCCAUGAUUGUGCUUUGUCAUUACCUCUCGUUGAAUACUGUAUGCAGCAUGCUAUGGUGUCCAUGCCAAUUACUCUGCGUUAGUUUAUUCUAGAUCACAUCAUCAUUAUGCCAUUACUCUGCGUUCGUUCUUCUUCUAAAAUUUUCAACUCUUAACCAUCUAUUAAACUUAAUGCUACAUAUAGCAAGACAUCACUUUCUUAUUGUUUCUCGUCACCGCUGGUGGUGAUCGCCAUGCCUCGUUGUAGGCUAUGUAGAGUUAUACUCAACCUAGUGACUGGGUUGGGAUCAUGUCAUGGCUAUGCCAUAGCAGCACCGUCAAGCUAUCAUUGUCAUGCCCCUCAUACGCUGGUGAUUGUUUCCCUUUCUAAGUGGAGCGAUUGUUUGAAAUCGCUCCUUAGGCACCAUUUGAGAGAGCUCCAACUCCUCCAUUUUAGAAAACAAAAACUCCUGGGAGCCCAUUUUACUAUAGUACACAGAGAAGUUAGAGCUAGAGCUGGGAAAAAAAAACUCCCAAAGGGGCUCAUAGCUCUGCCUCUUUUCUAUUCUAUCUUUUGCUUGUGCACCUCUCUUUUAAUGCUGCUAUUUGGCCACUCCAGUUCUUCAUAGUCAACCCACUGUUUUUCUCCAUGGUCGUCAUCAUGGUCACCCUCUUGGAAUCUGACCCAUGCUGACCUUUUCUUCUCUUUCAUUUUGAUCGUAGUUGUUCCUAUAUGUGUGAAACUAUGCUUAUCCAUGGUUACCUAACAUUUUUCUUCGUAGUCGUCGUCAUGCAAUCUAAACUGUGCAAUUUUAUUUCAUCGUCUUUUAGUUAGUUCGGAAUAUCUCUAGAUGCCAUCACCGUUGGUACCUCAAAUCACAACAACUUAGAUGGCCACUAUACACUCAUCGCUCUACAUCUGCCACAUUUGACAAUUCAUGCACAGACGUUCCACUUUCUGUCGUGGCCGGUGAUCGCACAAUCUUCGUAAUGUCUUGCAAAUGAAGGUCAAGCGCUACUUCAGCCGCCGGUUGCUUGAUAAUGUGUUGCUUAGCUCUAAUAUCAAAAAAUACCCUAAAAUUUGCACAACUCCGUGGUCAUGAUUAUCCCUUGGCUUUCACGACUUUUACUUAGCUUGUUUCUCCUUGUACAUAUUGGGGCUCUAUAGAAUUUCCUACGCUUUUGGAGGAGGGAGGGGGACAACUCAAGAAAUUCCAACUCCAACGAUUUUUCUUAUUGUGUGCAUGUAGGAUGAGGGUGUCUAAAUUUAUUUCUUUGGUCUAUCCUUUGAUUUAAGGGAUGAUCUCGAUACUAAAUAAGAGAGUGGAAUAUACGGAACUCCAAGAGUUUCCAAAAAAAUUAUUUCCCAAAACUAUCUAUUAGGGGCUCUACUAAAAAUGUAUUUUCCCAAAAUAAUGUCAUCCCACAGCAAAUCCCCAAUAAUAAACUCCCCAAAACUUCAAAACAGGCCACAUUAGCAUGUGCGGGCCCUCUGUUAGGCUGCCAUCAACUCCCCCCUCCUCACGAUCUAUUCUGAUCGAAGUCCUAGUGCCGCCGCCACUUCGCCCCUCCCGGCGCCUCUUCUUUUGCCACCAUUCCUGCCUGGUAAAUCUGCCGCUGCGUUGUACAAUUACAAUUGGAGAUAGAUAAAAUGGAAUCGUCAUAAGCUGACGAAGCCAUUCCAUGCAACCGGUGCUAGAUUCGAUUAGGCACGCGAGAAAGGAAGCACGGGAGCAAUUGGGGGAGGAGAGAGCUCGUGCAAAUAUGCGGGACGCUGGGGUCGCGAUUCACGUCGGCGAAAAUGUGCGGCAAUUUUUGGGGGGCUGUUGGAGAGGCCUUUUAUUUUCUUUUUCUCCCUAAUUAGACUAUUAUUAGGGGUGAUUUAAGAACCUUUUGGAGGUGCUCUAACUGGUAGUUGUAUUAGAAUAGGUGGGGCCUUUUUUUAUUUAUUUCUAUUGGUGGGAAUCGACGAUGAAUAAUUACUUUUAACUAUUAUUGGUACAGAAAGAGACUGCGGCCCUUGUCCAUAUCUAUCCUAAUCUAAUAUGAAUAAUAUACUCGAUUGAUCCAAACUGUUAUAUAUUUAUUAGUUAUAUACGAUGCGAACUCUUUAGGUUAGUCCGUCAGGUCAUCAUAAGAUGUAAUCGUGUAUAUUCUUUUCUUUUUCCUUUAAUGUGGCUUAUUCUAGGUUGGCCCCAGCAACAUUGCUACUUAGAUUUAUUGAGUAUCAAUACUUAUCCAUUGGUAUUCACCAUGGCGGUGCACACAAAUAAGAGAUUAUGGCACGCCAGCUGAGCUAUGAUCAGCUGGUAAUACUUCUUGUGUUGGGACCUACCCAUACGUGUCCGAGUUCUCGACUCGGCAUGUGUGCUCACGUUUUUCUAGAUUUAUUCUAGGAUUUAACCGGUAUUUAUUCUUUCUAAGUGACAUGCUGAUCUACCGACUUAGUCUCUCGGAGGUGUUCGUAGGGGUAAGGUUGCGUACGUGUAUUUAAAGAUGUGAGUGUCUACGUCUAUACUGUGUUUUGCAAUAGAAAAAGUAAGAGAAGGCACGAAAUGGAACAUAUAAGAUGCAUAUGUAUUGUGUUUUGCAAAAUAAAAAGUAAGAGAAGGCACAAAAUGGAACAUAUAAGGCGAGAGAAUGAAUGGCAACAAAAGGAUAUGUCACACUCAUUUUGUUUUUUGAUGGUGCACUUAUUUUUCUUUUCUCCGAUCAUAAUUCCAAAGGAUAAAGAAUAUCGUAUUUUUAUUUAGUCAAAUUCAAGUUUAUACAGAAGUGUAUUAGCAUCGAUCUAACACAUCAUAUAAGUAAAUUAUCAAAUAUAUUUCACAAUGGAUCGAAUUUUGUUCAUUUGAUAUCGAAAAUGUUAUUGCUCAUUUUUUAAAUUUGGACCAGACAUAGAAUAGUUUGAUUUACGACAUAUCAAAAGAAUAUUGUAUUUUUAUUUAGUUAAAUUCAAGUUUAUAGAGAAGUGAAUUAAUACCUAAUACAUCAUAUAAGUAAAUUAUAAAAAUAUAUUUGACAACGGAUCAAAUUAUGUUCAUUUUAUAUCGUAAAUUUUACUGCUCUCUUUUGAAACUUGGAUCAAACAUAAAAUAGUUUUACUUACAACAAACUAAAAUGACUUAUAAUAUCUUAUAGAAGAGGGAGUAAAUUAAGAUAGAAGAGGGAUAAAUUUUAGAGUCCAUGUAUUUCUUUCUUGCGCACAUGACUUCAUUGAAUUAGACUCCAUCAUGACGCUUGAUAGAUUCAUCCACAUGAUUAAAAAAUGCUAUUAUAGAUGGAAGGCCAUGUAUUUUCUGUUAACGUGGGAACAUGGAAAUCCAUGUCAAGCAAGACACGUUAGAUCUUUAUGGAAAUCCAUAUAUAGUAAGGAAAGGAAAUCAGCUUGUUUUGACUUGGACUUUUUUUAUUUGUCUAGACCAUUAGAUCUUCAUAAAAUCCAACGGUCCAUAUUCUUCUCUUUUUUCGAUUAACAAUGUAAUUUCUAAACCCUCUCGACGAACAUGGUAGCUUCUUUUAACACUAUUGUAUUUAGAUAAUAGAUUCUUAGCUCUGCUCGAAGUGGGUAGGGAAGCUAUUUCUUAGGCACCAGUUUGUUUGGCACACUGUGGUAGUGGAAGGCUGGAACCACACAUCCCGCCAAAUCUCUACAUCUACUACGUGUUACGGACAAACGUGUUGCCGACUCGAGUGCGCGUGCGACUUGAACCUCUCUGCCCCUGUGCCGGCGUUGCGACUUGCAACUUGCCUGCCCUCUCCUCGGCUCCUCGCUCGCCGCUUCCGCAUUAUAAAUAGAGCUGCCAGCCUCGGCGCCACCAUCACCAGCCAUCCUCUCCCAGAGGCCAAACCCACCAGCAGCCAACCAGCACUCACUCACUCUAUUCGAGCAGGCAGUACAGGCAGCUUCUCCGAUCCUCUCGCCCUUGGACAACGCAGCCUAGUUUCAACUGUUGAAGCCACGGCAGAGAUGAGGCGUUGCAGCCGUAUCUCUUCGCCGCUCGCGGCUCUUGCCCUGCUCCUCCUCAUCUGCCUCUUCCACUGCGCCGCAGCGGCUCGCCCCCUGCCUGUUUCUGUUGCUCCUCUGGUUAUCCAAGGUACGGUUCGUGCUUCAAUCGUAGCUUGUGCAUGUGUAUACGCUUUGCUCAUCGAUCCUAUUACCAGCUCAGCGUUGUUCUAAGUUUCUGAGCCUCUUGCAGAGAAUGGAGCCAAGGUGGCUGCAGAUGAUGAACCGGUGAUUCAGAAAGACGCCGCGGCUAGUGGCGAUGAGCUCCCAUCAGUCGCUGAGACUGAGGUGAUGGGAGCAGAGGAGGAGGCGGAGGAGCCGGCGUGCGAGGAGGGCAACGACGAGUGCCUGCAGAGGCGGCUGCUCCGGGACGCGCACCUUGACUACAUCUACACCCAGCACAAGGGCAAGCCAUGAGCCCGUGUGAGGGGGAGGACAGGCAGCUGCAGAUCCUCAUCUCGGUUGGUUGUUCUUGG